UCCCUGGUGGUCCAGUGGUUAUGACUCAGCGCUUUCACUACUGUAGCCUGGGUUCAGUCCCUGGUCAGGGAA
This is a transfer RNA of Ovis aries (sheep), 72 nucleotides long. It matches the Rfam family "tRNA". From Rfam's summary of the family: Transfer RNA (tRNA) molecules are approximately 80 nucleotides in length. Lineage: Eukaryota; Metazoa; Chordata; Mammalia; Artiodactyla; Bovidae. The record is from Rfam.